AAGCUGUUAUACAUCGCGAUGUCAAGUCUGCAAACAUAUUGCUCGACGAGAGUUUUAUGGCAAAAGUUGCUGAUUUUGGUCUAUCGAAGACAGGGCCUGAGCUUGAUCAAACCCAUGUUAGCACGGCCGUAAAAGGAAGCUUUGGCUACCUAGAUCCUGAAUAUUUUAGAAGACAACAGCUGGCCUGAGCUUGAUCAAACCCACGUUAGCACCGCCGUAAAAGGAAGCUUUGGCUACCUAGAUCCUGAAUAUUUUAGAAGACAACAGCUCACAGAAAAAUCUGAUGUUUAUUCUUUUGGUGUUUUUUUAUUUUAAGUUCUUUGUGCUA
RNAcentral lists this long non-coding RNA (328 nucleotides) under Nicotiana benthamiana. RNAcentral's name for it is "long non-coding RNA (NBEN_LNC032305)". Lineage: Eukaryota; Viridiplantae; Streptophyta; Magnoliopsida; Solanales; Solanaceae. The record is from RNAcentral.